Bactrocera tryoni is the source of this 241-nucleotide long non-coding RNA. RefSeq lists it as uncharacterized. The record is from RefSeq and is a predicted model, not a curated record. The transcript has 2 exons. Lineage: Eukaryota; Metazoa; Arthropoda; Insecta; Diptera; Tephritidae.
AUUUUUGCCGCGCUCGUUCAGCUUCAGUACGUCGUUCACAUUUAAUCCGUUCGGUGCUUUUUGACUGUUUGGAACCUUUUUAAUAAUUACGUUGAAACGUUGUUGAUUCUUAUUAAAUAUUGUUUUGUUGAAUCUGAGGACGAACAAAAACAAAAACAACUCCCAAUCAAAGUCAAGGAAACCAAACAUAUGGCAAGACAACUCUAGGACAAACAACAAAAAAGGAAUACCUAAAAAAAAC